AAAGAAACUAACAAGGAUUCCCCUAGUAACGGCGAGUGAACCGGGAAGAGCUCAAAUUUGAAAUCUGGCGUGCUCAGUGCGUCCGAGUUGUAAUCUAUAGAGGCGUUUUCCGUGCCGGACUGUGUCCAAGUCCCUUGGAACAGGGUAUCAAAGAGGGUGAUAAUCCCGUACUUGACACAAUGACCGGUGCUCUGUGAUACGUCUUCUACGAGUCGAGUUGUUUGGGAAUGCAGCUCAAAAUGGGUGGUGAGUUCCAUCUAAAGCUAAAUAUUGGCGAGAGACCGAUAGCGAACAAGUACCGUGAGGGAAAGAUGAAAAGCACUUUGGAAAGAGAGUUAAACAGUACGUGAAAUUGUUGAAAGGGAAACGAUUGAAGUCAGUCGUGACUGAGAGGCUCAGCCGGUUCUGCCGGUGUAUUCCCCUCAGUCGGGUCAACAUCAGUUUUGUUCGGUGGAUAAGGGCAGUUGGAAGGUGGCACCCUCGGGUGUGUUAUAGCCAGCUGUCGCAUACAUCGGAUGAGACUGAGGAAUGCAGCUCGCCUUUAUGGCCGGGGUUCGCCCACGUCGAGCUAGGAUGUGACAA
RNAcentral lists this ribosomal RNA (582 nucleotides) under Papiliotrema flavescens. RNAcentral's name for it is "LSU rRNA". It matches the Rfam family "Eukaryotic large subunit ribosomal RNA", at positions 58 to 631 of the family's 3401-position model. The record is from RNAcentral. Lineage: Eukaryota; Fungi; Basidiomycota; Tremellomycetes; Tremellales; Rhynchogastremaceae.